Molecule: ribosomal RNA, 2879 nt
Filed under: Bacteroidota bacterium
Lineage: Bacteria; Pseudomonadati; Bacteroidota
Description: bacterial LSU rRNA
Rfam family: Bacterial large subunit ribosomal RNA
Source: RNAcentral
GAUAACGAAAAGUUAAUAAGGGCACAUGGUGAAUGCCUUGGCUCUCAUAGGCGAUGAAGGACGUGAUAAGCUGCGAAAAGCUUCGGGGAGGUGCAAACAACCUUUGAUCCGAAGAUAUCCGAAUGGGGCAACCCUCCCGGUUGAAGACCGGGAAUCUAAAAAGAAGCUAACCCAGGGAACUGAAACAUCUAAGUACCUGGAGGAAAAGAAAACAAAUAGUGAUUCCCUAAGUAGUGGCGAGCGAACAGGGAAGAGCCCAAACCGUGGUUGUUAAGGCAAUCACGGGGUUGUAGGACUGCAACGUGUAUGUUAAAGUGAAGCUGAAUCUUCUGGAAAGUUGAACCAUAGAGGGUGAUAGACCCGUAAGCGUAAGCAAUAACAUACUAGCAGUAUCCUGAGUACCGCGAGGUCGGAGACGCCUUGUGGGAAUCUGCCGGCACCAUCCGGUAAGGCUAAAUACUAAUGAGAGACCGAUAGUGUACAAGUACUGUGAAGGAAAGGUGAAAAGAACCGCGAACAGCGGAGUGAAAUAGAACCUGAAACCGUGUGCUUACAAGCGGUCGGAGUCCCGUAAGGGAUGACGGCGUGCCUUUUGCAUAAUGAACCUACGAGUUACUCCUCACUGGCAAGGUUAAGCCCCGAAGGGGCGCAGCCGAAGCGAAAGCAAGUCUGAAUAGGGCGUAUAGUCAGUGGGGGUAGACGCGAAACCUUGUGAUCUACACAUGGGCAGGAUGAAGUGAGGGUAACACCUCAUGGAGGUCCGAACUGGUAAGCGUUGAAAAGCUUUCGGAUGACUUGUGUGUAGGGGUGAAAGGCUAAUCAAACUGGGAAAUAGCUCGUACUCCCCGAAAUGUCUUUAGGGACAGCGUUGAGUUAAUUGUUAUAGAGGUAGAGCUACUAAUAGGGCUAGGGGGCUUCACCGCCUACCAAACCCUGAUAAACUCCGAAUGCUACUAACAAAUACUCAGCAGUGAGGCCUGGGGUGCUAACGUCACAGGCCGAGAGGGAAACAACCCAGACCAUCAGCUAAGGUCCCCAAAUCUAUGUUAAGUUGAUAAAACGUGGUUCGAUUGCAUUGACAGCUAGGAUGUUGGCUUGGAAGCAGCCAUUCAUUUAAAGAGUGCGUAACAGCUCACUAGUCGAGCGAUCGGGCGUGGAUAAUAAACGGGCAUCAAACAUAGUACCGAAGCUAUGGCAACGAAAGUUGGGUAGGGGAGCAUUCUAACUGCACCGAAGGUGUGUCGUAAGGCAUGCUGGAGCGGUUAGAAAAGCAAAUGUAGGUAUAAGUAACGAUAAGGCAGGUGAGAAACCUGCCCACCGAAAGACUAAGGAUUCCUGAUCAACGUUAAUCGGAUCAGGGUUAGUCGGGUCCUAAGGCUCAUCCGAAGGGAAAUGCCGAUGGAAAACAGGUUAAUAUUCCUGUACCGGUGCAAUCAGUGAAUGGGACGACGGAGUAGUGAAAGGUCUGCGUACUGACGGAAUAGUACGUUGAAGCCAGUAGAUAUAAGUGCUGCAGGAAAAUCCACAGCGCUUGUCGAAGGUGACAGUACCGGAAGUCUUCGGACGACUGGAUAAUGACCCUAAGCAAACUUCCAAGAAAACUCCCUAAACUUAUGAUUGUACCGCCCGUACCGUAAACCGACACAGGUAGUCGAGGAGAGAAUCCUAAGGUGCUCGAGUGAUUCAUGGCUAAGGAACUCGGCAAAUUAACCCUGUAACUUCGGGAAAAAGGGUGCCCCGCCUCUGGCGGGGCCGCAGAGAAAUGGCCCAGGCGACUGUUUAACAAAAACACAUGGCUAUGCCAAAUCGAAAGAUGAUGUAUAUGGCCUGACACCUGCCCGGUGCUGGAAGGUUAAGAGGAGAUGUUAGUAGCAAUACAAAGCAUUGAAUCGAAGCCCCAGUAAACGGCGGCCGUAACUAUAACGGUCCUAAGGUAGCGAAAUUCCUUGUCGGGUAAGUUCCGACCUGCACGAAUGGUGUAACGAUCUGGGCACUGUCUCAGUCAUGAGCUCGGUGAAAUUGUAGUAGCGGUGAAGAUGCCGCUUACCCGCAACGGGACGGAAAGACCCCGUGCACCUUCACUACAACUUUGCAUUGAUUCUGGAUAAAUGAUGUGUAGGAUAGGUGGGAGACUUUGAAGCGGGGGCGCCAGCCCUCGUGGAGUCAACCUUGAAAUACCACCCUUCAUUUAUUCGGGAUCUAAUCCGGCAAAGCCGGAAACAUUGCAUGGUGGGUAGUUUGACUGGGGUGGUCGCCUCCAAAAGAGUAACGGAGGCUUUCAAAGGUACCCUCAGCACGCUUGGUAACCGUGCGCGGAGUGCAAUAGCAUAAGGGUGCUUGACUGUGAGACAUACAAGUCGAGCAGGCACGAAAGUGGGAUAUAGUGAUCCGGUGGUUCCGCAUGGAAGGGCCAUCGCUCAAAGGAUAAAAGGUACGCCGGGGAUAACAGGCUGAUCUCCCCCAAGAGCUCACAUCGACGGGGAGGUUUGGCACCUCGAUGUCGGCUCGUCACAUCCUGGGGCUGGAGAAGGUCCCAAGGGUUCGGCUGUUCGCCGAUUAAAGUGGCACGCGAGCUGGGUUCAGAACGUCGUGAGACAGUUCGGUCCCUAUCUGUUGUGGGCGUUGGAAAUUUGAGAGGACCUGACUCUAGUACGAGAGGACCGAGUCGGACGUACCUCUAGUGUACCUGUUGUGGCGCCAGCUGCAUCGCAGGGUAGCUACGUACGGUUGAGAUAAGCGCUGAAAGCAUCUAAGCACGAAACUCACCUCAAGAUGAGAUUUCCUUUAAGGGUCGUUGGAGACUACGACGUUGAUAGGUUGCAUGUGUAAAGACAGUAAUGUCAAAGCUGAGCAAUACUAAUUACCCGUAAACUUUCAAU